UACGUAGGGUGCGAGCGUUGUCCGGAAUUAUUGGGCGUAAAGAGCUCGUAGGCGGUUUGUCGCGUCGGCCGUGAAAUCUCCACGCUUAACGUGGAGCGUGCGGUCGAUACGGGCAGACUUGAGUUCGGUAGGGGAGACUGGAAUUCCUGGUGUAGCGGUGAAAUGCGCAGAUAUCAGGAGGAACGCCGAUGGCGAAGGCAGGUCUCUGGGCUGACACUGACGCUCAUGCACGAAAGCGUGGGGAGCAAACAGG
Molecule: ribosomal RNA, 253 nt
Filed under: uncultured bacterium
Lineage: Bacteria
Description: partial 16S ribosomal RNA
Rfam family: Bacterial small subunit ribosomal RNA
Source: RNAcentral